UGGGGAAUAUUGGACAAUGGGCGAAAGCCUGAUCCAGCCAUGCCGCGUGUGUGAAGAAGGUCUUCGGAUUGUAAAGCACUUUAAGUUGGGAGGAAGGGCAGUAAGCGAAUACCUUGCUGUUUUGACGUUACCGACAGAAUAAGCACCGGCUAACUCUGUGCCAGCAGCCGCGGUAAUACAGAGGGUGCAAGCGUUAAUCGGAAUUACUGGGCGUAAAGCGCGCGUAGGUGGUUCGUUAAGUUGAAUGUGAAAGCCCCGGGCUCAACCUGGGAACAGCAGCCAAAACUGGCGAGCUAGAGUAGGGCAGAGGGUGGUGGAAUUUCCUGUGUAGCGGUGAAAUGCGUAGAUAUAGGAAGGAACACCAGUGGCGAAGGCGACCACCUGGGCUCAUACUGACACUGAGGUGCGAAAGCGUGGGGAGCAAACAGG
Molecule: ribosomal RNA, 429 nt
Filed under: Pseudomonadota bacterium
Lineage: Bacteria; Pseudomonadati; Pseudomonadota
Description: Proteobacteria bacterium partial 16S ribosomal RNA
Rfam family: Bacterial small subunit ribosomal RNA
Source: RNAcentral